Molecule: unclassified non-coding RNA, 2764 nt
Filed under: Pomacea canaliculata
Lineage: Eukaryota; Metazoa; Mollusca; Gastropoda; Architaenioglossa; Ampullariidae
Description: uncharacterized LOC112560919, transcript variant X2
Source: RNAcentral
CUGAAAUCGAAUCUUGUGUAGUCUCCCCCAACACUCUCAAACAUACCUGUACGCAUGCGCGACAUUCCUACGGACGCCAAGUUUCUCUUGUGCGAGGGGGAAAUAACGGCGUCGCGCUGGAUCAACAACCAUGAAGCGUGUGUUCAGCUUACCAGAAUGCUCACAUGGGCAGGGCAGUAUUCAGUAUAUAUGGCAAAAAAACAAAGGAAACUACCUUGCAACCACUGGGUCUGAUCAAAAGGUUCAUAUUUUUGACAGACACGGUGACUUGAAAGGAGAUCUGUGCUUUCCAGGAAUAUGCACUGGCCUUGACUGGGACCACGAUGGAGACAUUCUGGCUGUGGUUUGUGAGCAGUCAAAUGGCAUUUUCCUCUGGGAUUCAAACUCAUUCAAAACCACUCAGAUAGACAGUGGUCUCAAAGAUACCAUGACAUUCCUGCAGUGGGCAAAGUCUCAGCCGUUGCUGGCUGUUGGAACUGUAAAGGGAAAUCUGCUUAUUUACAACCACCAGUCAUCAAGGAAAAUACCAAUCAUUGGAAAGCACACCAAGAAAAUCACCUGUGGUGCUUGGAGUGCUGAAAGUUUGCUUGCUCUUGGCAGUGAUGAUAAGUCUAUCACUAUUAGCAACAUGGAAGGUGACACAGUUCGUCACAUUCCUUUACGCAUGGAACCAUUUGACAUCCAGUUCUCAGAAAUGAAGGCAGAUGAGAGGAGCAGUAUAGGAGAGAAUACAGUAAGUGCUAAUGUGGGACACAAGACCCUAUUUCUCUACAACAUUAAUGACCCAGAGAAUCCAAUAGAGCUGGCAUUCCAACCACGCUAUGGCACGAUUGUCUCUUACAAGUGGUUUGGUGAUGGCUACAUCCUGAUUGGUUUUAAUCAAGGCUAUUUUGUUGUCAUCUCAACACACAUGAAAGAAAUAGGACAGGAGCUUUUCCAGGCCCGAAAUCACAAGAAUCAUCUGAACAGCAUAGCAGUAUCACCAUCUCUGGGCAAAGCAGCAUCUUGUGGUGACAACUGAUUUGUAUCUGUAAUCAACAAUGCGUAGAAGUGGAAGAGGAAAAUGUGUUCAGUUAGGUAGUGUUUGUACUAUCAAAGACAAUGGAAGGAAGGGUAAGUCCCGUAAGGUGCGAUGUUCUGUAAAGGAGUACCGAGACCUCAUGAGGUCUAUAGACUCACUACAAGGCAAUAGACCCAGCAUCAUUCAACAGGAGGAGCAUGAAGCCAGAAUCAUUCAACAGGAGGAGCAAGAACCCAGUGUAACCUUUCCACUUGAAACCAAUGAAUCUGAGGUGGCAGAACCUAGCAGCCACAAAAAAAAGGGCAGUAAACGAGGCAGAAGGAUGGAGAAAAAUACGAUCUGAUCUGGUUGUUGCCCGGAUGGAAGGAUUUUGUCCUGCUUCAAAUCAAUGUUCCUCAUGUGGCUCUUCUGAGGUUCCCGAAAUCAUAUGGUGUCCUGACUGUGGACCCAACACUCUGUAUUGCAUGAUGUGUAAUGAGAAUAUCCACCGCAUGGUAAUGUACCAUCAGGCGUAUGUUUGGAAAAAUGUAAGUACUAAAUGUAUAAAAUUAGUGAAAGUAUAUUUAUUCAAAAUCUUAGCCUAUUGGAAUGCAUUACACUGUUAGCACUGUGUAUGCUUAAAAUUUAAUUCAAAUAUUAAUAAACACUACACAGAUAACUGCUACAUUGAAAAUAUUAAAUUAGCUUGCAUAGUUGUAUACUUAUUUUUUCCUGCAGUUACAGAACAUAUCUUAUUUUUUGUCUAUCUGAUAAUUUGCUUAUGUUAAUUUUUUUUCAGGAUGUUUAUAUGUUUGUGCCCCUUAUUAAAGAAACAACCCUCAUCCAUGAACACUCAUGUGACAGCAUAUACUCUCGUCAAAUAAGAGUUUUUGAUGCAUUGGGGAGACAGCAUAAAAUAAAAUCCCAUUUCUGCCAGUGUGAGCCAGAAGCUGUUACGAGUACGAGUACGAGAUCUUUAAUGUCAGUAACUCAUAUAGUCAUUUUGACAUGGGGGGGAUACAUACAUAGUGGUAACACAAUGCAGCAUAGAAGGAAAAUAAUUUACAGUAUCAUCUGUACUAACUUGUUCGGACCCUGUCCUCCACAUGAAAUUUAGUAGAAUUCAUCUUUAUCUAUAUAUACUGCAAUACACUUUCCUCUAAUAGGUGAAUGCCAUCUUUUAUAUCUAAUGAAUUGUAACAAGGGCUGCCUUCUGGCACCAUAUAGCAUGAUAUCAAGAUAACAUCUUUGUCAGAGUUCAUUAAUUUUUUUAUCAAUUUUCAGUGUAACUAUAUUGGUUGAAUCAAAUCUUGCUUCCUUUAUAUAUUGUGACCAACAGCAUUUUACCGUAAGAAGAACCCCACCUGACCAUCGGCCCUGCUUAAACAAUUUUCUUGCAGGGGCAUAAAUCUUAAUGUAUUCUGGCAGGAUGUUAAGAGUAUCUCCAUGUGCGUCCCUGUUAAACAAAUAAAGUCAAAUGACGUGAUAUAAUCUACCAACAAGUUAUCUCCUCUACAUUAUAGUUAACACAAGUCAAACGCCUUGCCUGACGGCCAGUUUUUUCCUAUUUCCACUUGGGUUGUGAUCUUGUUGCACUAUCUGAGGUGUUCUUGUCACUUAUAUAGCUAUCCAGAGAGCCUUGCUUCUUCCCCUUUUCGCUUGCUCCUCCGUUCUUAUUCUUGCGCUAUUUGGGUGUACAUGUACUGUCAUCUCUCAUCAGCUGUUGCGUCCCUUUGACCUCUUCAGCAUAUCCGGACGCCGUGC